RNAcentral lists this ribosomal RNA (498 nucleotides) under uncultured bacterium. RNAcentral describes it as "partial 16S ribosomal RNA". It matches the Rfam family "Bacterial small subunit ribosomal RNA", at positions 28 to 507 of the family's 1533-position model. The record is from RNAcentral.
GACGAACGCUGGCGGCGUGCCUAAUACAUGCAAGUCGAACGAGAGCGACCGGUGCUUGCACUGGUCAAUCUAGUGGCGAACGGGUGAGUAACACGUGGGUAACCUGCCCAUCAGAGGGGGAUAACAUCCGGAAACGGAUGCUAAAACCGCAUAGGUUUUCGAACCGCAUGGUUUGAAGAGGAAAAGAGGCGCAAGCUUCUGCUGAUGGAUGGACCCGCGGUGCAUUAGCUAGUUGGUGAGGUAACGGCUCACCAAGGCCGUGAUGCAUAGCCGACCUGAGAGGGUGAUCGGCCACAUUGGGACUGAGACACGGCCCAACCUCCUACGGGAGGCAGCAGUAGGGAAUCUUCCGCAAUGGACGCAAGUCUGACGGAGCAACGCCGCGUGAGUGAAGAAGGUUUUCGGAUCGUAAAACUCUGUUGUUAGAGAAGAACAAGUGCUAGAGUAACUGUUAGCGCCUUGACGGUAACUAAGCAGAAAGCCACGGCUAACUACGUG